Paralichthys olivaceus (Japanese flounder) is the source of this 427-nucleotide non-coding RNA. The record is from RefSeq and is a predicted model, not a curated record. NCBI's taxonomy places the organism in Eukaryota, Metazoa, Chordata, Actinopteri, Pleuronectiformes, Paralichthyidae.
UGAAGCCUCUGCAGUGACUGGAGGUGAUGUAGCUUAGCAUUUCUAGCAUUUAGCCUGGACUCAGCUCCUCUGCAGUUUGAAGUGUGGACGUGUUGCAGGAGGACGUGAUCUGUGGAGGGAGGAGUCACAGGUCUGGUCAAACUGCAGGACGAAGUCUCACCUGAGGAAACAUGGCGUCUGCUCAGAGUUCCCUCUGACCUAUAUGCUGGGAUGAGAGCUGGGAUCAAAAGUACAGAAGCACUGAAGUGAAGACACCUGACCACCAAGGGCGGAGACGAGGCGGACCACACAACACAGGAGGCCUGGGGAAAUCAUUAACCACACACAAACACAUUCAAUAUGACUGAGUGAUCGCAGCGUUGGAGGGAGACGGCCAUUUUGACUCAGCUUCGUUCGUACAGACCUGAUGAGAGACGCUAACGUCUUC